AGUGAACGCUGGCGGUAGGCCUAACACAUGCAAGUCGAACGGCAGCACAGUAAGAGCUUGCUCUUACGGGUGGCGAGUGGCGGACGGGUGAGGAAUACAUCGGAAUCUACUUUUUCGUGGGGGAUAACGUAGGGAAACUUACGCUAAUACCGCGUACGACCUACGGGUGAAAGCAGGGGAUCUUCAGACCUUGCGCGAUUGAAUGAGCCGGUGUCGGAUUAGCUAGUUGGCGGGGUAAAGGCCCACCAAGGCGACGAUCCGUAGCUGGUCUGAGAGGAUGAUCAGCCACACUGGAACUGAGACACGGUCCAGACUCCUACGGGAGGCAGCAGUGGGGAAUAUUGGACAAUGGGCGCAAGCCUGAUCCAGCCAUACCGCGUGGGUGAAGAAGGCCUUCGGGUUGUAAAGCCCUUUUGUUGGGAAAGAAAAGCAGCAGGUUAAUACCCCACUGUUCUGACGGUACCCAAAGAAUAAGCACCGGCUAACUUCGUG
RNAcentral lists this ribosomal RNA (492 nucleotides) under uncultured bacterium. RNAcentral describes it as "partial 16S ribosomal RNA". It matches the Rfam family "Bacterial small subunit ribosomal RNA", at positions 29 to 507 of the family's 1533-position model. The record is from RNAcentral.